Molecule: ribosomal RNA, 164 nt
Filed under: uncultured bacterium
Lineage: Bacteria
Description: partial 16S rRNA
Rfam family: Bacterial small subunit ribosomal RNA
Source: RNAcentral
UAGGGAAUCUUCCACAAUGGGCGCAAGCCUGAUGGAGCAACACCGCGUGAGUGAAGAAGGGUUUCGGCUCGUAAAGCUCUGUUGUUAAAGAAGAACACGUAUGAGAGUAACUGUUCGUACGUUGACGGUAUUUAACCAGAAAGUCACGGCUAACUACGUGCCAC